RNAcentral lists this transfer RNA (87 nucleotides) under Cephalotrichum gorgonifer. RNAcentral describes it as "transfer RNA-Tyr(GTA)". It matches the Rfam family "tRNA". Rfam says of the family: Transfer RNA (tRNA) molecules are approximately 80 nucleotides in length. Their secondary structure includes four short double-helical elements and three loops (D, anti-codon, and T loops). Further hydrogen bonds mediate the characteristic L-shaped molecular structure. tRNAs have two regions of fundamental functional importance: the anti-codon, which is responsible for specific mRNA codon recognition, and the 3' end, to which the tRNAs corresponding amino acid is attached (by aminoacyl-tRNA synthetases). tRNAs cope with the degeneracy of the genetic code in two manners: having more than one tRNA (with a specific anti-codon) for a particular amino acid; and 'wobble' base-pairing, i.e. permitting non-standard base-pairing at the 3rd anti-codon position. The record is from RNAcentral. Lineage: Eukaryota; Fungi; Ascomycota; Sordariomycetes; Microascales; Microascaceae.
CUCCCGAUGGUCUAGUUGGUUCAUGGCGUCCGACUGUAAUUGCGCGGUCUUAUCGGAAAGUCGCCUGUUCGAUUCAGGCUCGGGAGA